This is a long non-coding RNA of Bactrocera neohumeralis, 1214 nucleotides long. RefSeq lists it as uncharacterized. Lineage: Eukaryota; Metazoa; Arthropoda; Insecta; Diptera; Tephritidae. The record is from RefSeq and is a predicted model, not a curated record. The transcript has 3 exons.
AUCCAAAAAUGCAUUUGCCGCGGCAGCGCUGUCUACCAAAUUGCGUGUAUUAAACCGAUAUGUUGUUGGCCAAGACACACAUGGCUAAAAUGUGUGUAAACAUUUAAGGCAAGCUCAACUGCCGAUUACGGCAUACGGCAACAACAACGAUUACUAUGAUGAAUCACUGGCGAGAAUUUGCGCUUUCGGCUUCACUGGCGUCCAAGUAAACAACGAUCAGCGUUAAAAAUAAACGCUAAAUUUAAUGCAAAUUGCUUAUUGUAUAAGCUUGCCGAAUACGCUUGCACUUACCAUACAUACGUACAUAUCUACACAGCGUUUGCAAUUUGCACAGUUAACAGUGUGAUCGAACUGUACAGAACAGAAUGUGCGCUGUGGUGGAUGCAAGAUCACUUUUUGGCUAAGGACAAUGUACCCAUAAAAUGUUAAAACUGACAGUAAACUCAUUUAUAUCCGAGCAAAUCUUGAACCAGACUUUUUCUUCAACUGGAACUGAUGUUUAAAUAUUUUAUGUUUGAACCAUUACAACAACGACACUAAAUUUUGUUUUUGUGUGAGAAAACGUUUCUGAAAUCAUAAAUUUUUCGGAUAAGUUGGAACUUUGACGCCUGUUAUCACUUAUAAUAUGCGAAGGCUUUGAAAUGCAUCAACUACAGUUAUACUUUUAUAAAGGCUUUAAUUUCCAGGAAAAAUUCAUUAACAACGAAAUCUAUGUCUAAUCUAUAUUUAAUCUAUAUUUAAUUUUUAUAUAAAACCAAAGCCAGUUAGCUCUAAAUUAUAUACACAUUUCUUGUCUUGGGUAAAAAUUCAAGCAUUAACAAAAAUAAAAAUUAAAAAAAAGCAAUUUUUAAUAAUUUUCGACUAAAAGCUCAUAACUUCUCUUUCCUUUUGUAUCAAAAAAUAUUUAAAUAUUUGCAAAACUAGUAGCGAAGUUCAGUAUAAAGCAAUAUUUUUUAUAUCUAUUAAGAUUUAUUUAGUGCGAAAAAAUUUUUGUAUGAAAAUAUAUGUAUUACUAAUACCUAAAAAUACCAAAGGGCACGUCUCCAAGACUAAUUUACCGGAAUUACAAAAAAACAAUACAAUAUGAAUGAAAUGUUUUAAAAUUUUGAACAUAAUUUAUAUAUAAUUAAUGAAUAUAUAUAAAAAAUACAUAAAACUUGAAAUCAUUAUAUACAGUUAGAAAGCCGAAAAAAGCGAAUUUUCCAAAUUUUUUU